UGGGACAUGGAGGAAACUCUGAUCCAGCCAUGCCGCGUGCAGGAAGACGGCCCUAUGGGUUGUAAACUGCUUUUAUAUAGGAAGAACCUUUUCACGUGUGAAAGCUGACGGUACUAUAAGAAUAAGGACCGGCUAACUCCGUGCCAGCAGCCGCGGUAAUACGGAGGGUCCGAGCGUUAUCCGGAAUCAUUGGGUUUAAAGGGUCCGUAGGCGGGAAUCUAAGUCAGUGGUGAAAUCUUACAGCUCAACUGUAGAAUUGCCAUUGAUACUGGGUUUCUUGAAUUAGUGUGAAGUGAUUAGAAUGUGUAGUGUAGCGGUGAAAUGCAUAGAUAUUACACAGAAUACCAAUUGCGAAGGCAGAUCACUAACACUAUAUUGACGCUGAGGGACGAAAGCGUGGGGAGCGAACAGGAUUAGAUACCCUGGUAGUCCACGCCGUAAACGAUGGCAUACUAGCUGUUCGGUCUUCGGAUUGAGUGGCUAAGCGAAAGUGCAUAAGCUAUCCCACC
RNAcentral lists this ribosomal RNA (509 nucleotides) under uncultured Bacteroidota bacterium. RNAcentral describes it as "bacterial SSU rRNA". It matches the Rfam family "Bacterial small subunit ribosomal RNA", at positions 365 to 873 of the family's 1533-position model. Lineage: Bacteria; Pseudomonadati; Bacteroidota. The record is from RNAcentral.